UUAAUCUAUUUUUUUUCCUUUGUUUCUAGUACUAUUUUGUGUCAUAAGAAUCUAUUGCACAUCCAAAGCCAUGAAGAUUUAUGCCUCUGUCAUCUUUCUUUUUGUGAUGCUGGGGAUUGAACUCAGGGCCUUUGUACAUCCCUGACCCCCACUUUUUAAUUUUACUUUGAGGCAGUGUCUUGCUGAGGUACUCAGGCUGGCCUGGAACUAGCCAUCCUCUUCUUGCCUUGCAGUGCCUCCAUUUUCUUGCAGUUUGUGGCUGCGCUUGUCCCUGUGGCUGUGUGACCCACUUGGCACUGCGGGUGGUAUGGGGAAGGGAGCCUCCUCCUUCUGCAUGUCACUUUCCAGUUUUUCCCAGCUCUGUUUGUUGAAAUUAUACUUUAUUCCUAGUGCUUAACCCAACCCUGUUAAAAACCGUAUUUUUGUGUAUUUAUCUUCUUACAGUUUUGUUUUCUUUCCUUUUAAGGAAAAUUUCAAAAAUGUUUCAAAUUCCUGUGGAAAAUCUUGACAACAUCAGAAAGGUGCGGAAAAGGGUGAAAGGAAUUCUUGUGGAUGUCGGGCUUGACAGCUGCAGGGAGUUGCUGAAGGACCUUAAAGGCUUUGAUCCAGGAGAGAAGUUCUUCUAUAACACAUCAUGGGGAGAUGUUUCUCUCUGGGAACCUUCUGGAAAGAAAGUGAGAUACCGAACAAAACCAUACUGUUGUAGCCUUUGCAGAUACUCGACAAAGGUGCUUGCUUCACUCAAAAACCAUUUACAUCGUCACCACGAAGAUGAGGCUGACCAGGAGCUGGUGAUCCCGU
Molecule: non-coding RNA, 801 nt
Organism: Marmota flaviventris (yellow-bellied marmot)
Lineage: Eukaryota; Metazoa; Chordata; Mammalia; Rodentia; Sciuridae
Source: RefSeq, a predicted model, not a curated record